RNAcentral lists this ribosomal RNA (253 nucleotides) under uncultured bacterium. Its description in RNAcentral is "partial 16S ribosomal RNA". It matches the Rfam family "Bacterial small subunit ribosomal RNA", at positions 524 to 776 of the family's 1533-position model. The record is from RNAcentral.
UACGUAGGGCGCAAGCGUUGUCCGGAAUUAUUGGGCGUAAAGAGCUCGUAGGCGGUCUGUUACGUCUGCUGUGAAAACCCAGGGCUUAACCCUGGGCUUGCAGUGGAUACGGGCUGACUAGAGGCAGGUAGGGGAGAAUGGAAUUCCCGGUGUAGCGGUGAAAUGCGCAGAUAUCGGGAGGAACACCGGUGGCGAAGGCGGUUCUCUGGGCCUGACCUGACGCUGAGGAGCGAAAGCGUGGGGAGCGAACAGG